Long non-coding RNA from Rhododendron vialii, 2436 nucleotides. RefSeq lists it as uncharacterized. The record is from RefSeq and is a predicted model, not a curated record. The transcript is spliced from 5 exons. NCBI's taxonomy places the organism in Eukaryota, Viridiplantae, Streptophyta, Magnoliopsida, Ericales, Ericaceae.
UGGGUGGUGUAUAUCUCAAGGGUCAUUUUGUCUAUUUAUAUUGCAUCUCCAUAGACAACGGGAGCAUGUCAAAAAUUGAGUUGUAACUUGUAUCCUCUAAAGCUAUGUGUAUCUAGGAAGUUGUGAAGUUUUAGAUUUCAGCAGUGGCAUAAAGCCACCGGUAAGUUUUUUCUCUAGAAUUCUUCCAUCCUUUUCGGCCAUUGCCUGUAUUGAGCCUAAGGACAAUGGGGUUCUUCGAACCUAAAGGGUUUCUGGCUUUUUUUCCCCCUUGUAAUUUCUGCUAUAGUUUCCAUUGCUUGGCUCGUUUUGCUAUUGCCCUGGAACUUAUGCUUCGAAAUUCAAUUAACCUUUGCAUUAUAGAUACUGAGCAUCUAAAAUUCCAUUAACUUGACUACCACAACCUAGAAAUUACUUUAGGUUUAUGCCCAUCCUCAUUUACUGUCCAUUUGGCAAAAUUGGUGAGUAAAGAGAAGAGAACAAGAGAAUGUGAAGGAUAAUGAUAUCUUUCUGGUGAUUAGGAUGAGAGUGUCCCACUGUCCCUACUUAUUCUUCUUUUUCUCAGGUAAUUCAUGAGAAUUCGGAAAACACAUUUUGGAACUACGAUUUUGCUUAAAAUUGAUGACUUGGCUGUGCUGCCACGGCAAUCAGACGAGCCGAUAUCCAACUUGGAAUCACAGCAGGGUGAAAUCCCUGGGUCCAACCUCUAUUUUCACAUAAUACAUGAUCUGAAAGAGAAGGGAAAACCAUUAAUUAUAAUAUCAGCAUUCUGUGGGGGGUUUGUGUGGGUUUUUUUGUUGUUCCUUGUAUGGGGGAGAUUAGGAUUUUUCUUGUAGCUAUGUUCAAGUUCUUCUUAGUUUAUCUGAGCAUUGCUUGAGAACAUGAGUAGUGGCUUCUUCGUCUUGACAUGGGUUUGUGGAAGAAAAGGAAAAACCAUGAAUUAUAGUAUCAGCUUUCUAUGGGGUUUUGUGUGUUUUUUUUUUCUUUGGAUGUGUGCAUGUGUGUCAAUAUUUUAGCUGACGCUCUAGUAGUUUCCCUUGAUGCCAGCUAAGUUGGUUUGAGUGAGUGUUGAAAACAACUUUCAAAACUCUGAUAUUGUAUGGUGCAUGGGUCAUUUUACAGUUGAAGCUAUGCUCAUGGAAAUAUUCCAAAUUGAGAAACAUUCUAACUAGUUUUCUAGCCUGGGAAGAGGCAUUUUGAUUCUCCGCCCCACCUCUGUGUUUUGAAAUUGAUUGGUUUUAAUUUCACUGAAAUAUGGCAGGUUUGGAAUAUGUCCUUCGUGGGGUCUUUCUCAGAAGCUGUCACGCAUUAUAGGACCCAACAGAGCUCUUGAAGUUGAAGUGUUUUCAACAGCCAUGGCCCUUAACUGCAGGACAAACUGAGAGGUGAGGUUUGGUGAAUCAUCUUGUUGAUGAAAGCGAAUUGCUGAAGAAAGCCCGGAAGUUGCAGAGGCUAUUUUGAAAAAUGAUCAAGACUUAAGUUUUGAGGUAUAAGUCGGUUAUCAAUAAUGGCCUCAAGCUGGACCUGGGUCACACUCUUGCACUUGAAAAGAACUGAAAAACAGGAGCACAGAGGCAUCCCCCAGAACUAGAAUGCAAACAGCAGGACUAACAAGUAAACUAGGGAACAAAGCUGCAAACAAAACUAGUAAAGGAUAGCUUUUUAGAGCUUAUCAACCGGCUGAGGCUGACAACAACAGAAGUUUAGAAGACUAAAGUACAAAGAACAGAUACAUACAUCAACCAGAGGCAAACACAUUAGCAUAUAUGUUUUGCUGCCAAUCAACACACACAAGUCUAUUCUGAUCUGACUUCUUGAUAUUCUUCCACGUUUUGUUAAACAUCUAUCAACAAUGACAAGGAUAGGCUCAAGCUGUGGUUGCGCCUGCAGCAAUUUGUCUUACCCUUCUUCCGAUCGUCCAAUCAGGAUCAAAGUAGUCAAGGAUAUAACACUUGUUCGCUGGAAGUUAAUGAACAAACAUUAAGCUACUUGUUGAAGCAGGAGAGAUACCUUCUUUGCUUGAAAUGACAUCUAGAAACAGCGAGUCUAAGAGUUGGCUUUAUCUGCAUUGGUUAAGUGACCAGGUUGCCAUGAAAACAAGAACUGCAUCUGCGCAGCUGGUGGGGUUCCUCUUUAUCUGAAGUUAACCUUUUCGUUCCAUCUACGCACGUCAUAGUCGCAAAAUGCUAUGGAGUCCUUGAAAAACUUGCUUCAAACAGCAAUGGAACUAAAUUCUUUGUUGAUGAAACUGGGCAGGGAAGUUGCUGCAGCUUAGCUCAAGCUGUAUUAGUGCAGAUUAGUUAGUUUUGGCAGGGAAGUUAGCUAGCUCGUUUUUUAUAUAUAGUGGAGAGCGGUUAGUGUGUAAAGAUCAGGGAAUUGAAUUUUCUAGAGUUCUCUUUUAGUAUUCCAUUGGUUUAAUAAAGAUUCUUUCCUUCUCUA